UACGUAGGGGGCAAGCGUUGUCCGGAUUUACUGGGCGUAAAGAGCGCGUAGGCGGAAAUUUAAGCGUGGCCUGAAAGCCCCCGGCUCAACCGGGGAGUGCGGCUGCGAACUGGAUUUCUUGAGGACGAUAGAGGAGAGUGGAAUUCCUGGUGUAGCGGUGAAAUGCGUAGAUAUCGGGAGGAACACCAAUGGCGAAGGCAGCUCGCUGGGACGUGACUGACGCUGAGACGCGAAAGCGUGGGGAGCGAACAGG
RNAcentral lists this ribosomal RNA (253 nucleotides) under uncultured bacterium. RNAcentral's name for it is "partial 16S ribosomal RNA". It matches the Rfam family "Bacterial small subunit ribosomal RNA", at positions 524 to 776 of the family's 1533-position model. The record is from RNAcentral.